This 554-nucleotide ribosomal RNA is filed under the name uncultured bacterium. Its description in RNAcentral is "bacterial SSU rRNA". It matches the Rfam family "Bacterial small subunit ribosomal RNA", at positions 102 to 674 of the family's 1533-position model. The record is from RNAcentral.
ACGGGUGAGUAACGCGUGGGUAACCUGCCUCAUACAGGGGGAUAACAGUUGGAAACGGCUGCUAAAACCGCAUAAGCAUACAUUGCCGCAUGGCAGAGUGUGAAAAUAUUAAUAGGUAUGAGAUGGGCCCGCGUCUGAUUAGCUAGUUGGUAAGGUAACGGCUUACCAAGGCGACGAUCAGUAGCCGGCUUGAGAGAGUGACCGGCCACAUUGGGACUGAGACACGGCCCAAACUCCUACGGGAGGCAGCAGUGGGGAAUAUUGCACAAUGGGGGAAACCCUGAUGCAGCGACGCCGCGUGAGUGAAGAAGUAUUUCGGUAUGUAAAGCUCUAUCAGCAGGGAAGAAAAUGACGGUACCUGACUAAGAAGCCCCGGCUAACUACGUGCCAGCAGCCGCGGUAAUACGUAGGGGGCAAGCGUUAUCCGGAUUUACUGGGUGUAAAGGGAGCGUAGGUGGUUCGGUAAGUCAGAUGUGAAAGCCCGGGGCUCAACCCCGGGACUGCAUUUGAAACUAUCGAACUAGAGUGCAGGAGAGGUAAGUGGAAUUCCUAGU